This 492-nucleotide ribosomal RNA is filed under the name uncultured bacterium. RNAcentral's name for it is "partial 16S ribosomal RNA". It matches the Rfam family "Bacterial small subunit ribosomal RNA", at positions 29 to 507 of the family's 1533-position model. The record is from RNAcentral.
AGUGAGCGCUGGCGGUAGGCCUAACACAUGCAAGUCGAACGGCAGCACAGUAAGAGCUUGCUCUUACGGGUGGCGAGUGGCGGACGGGUGAGGAAUACAUCGGAAUCUACUUUUUCGUGGGGGAUAACGUAGGGAAACUUACGCUAAUACCGCAUACGACCUACGGGUGAAAGCAGGGGAUCUUCGGACCUUGCGCGAUUGAAUGAGCCGAUGUCGGAUUAGCUAGUUGGCGGGGUAAAGGCCCACCAAGGCGACGAUCCGUAGCUGGUCUGAGAGGAUGAUCAGCCACACUGGAACUGAGACACGGUCCAGACGCCUACGGGAGGCAGCAGUGGGGAAUAUUGGACAAUGGGCGCAAGCCUGAUCCAGCCAUACCGCGUGGGUGAAGAAGGCCUUCGGGUUGUAAAGCCCUUUUGUUGGGAAAGAAAAGCAGCAGGUUAAUACCCCGCUGUUCUGACGGUACCCAAAGAAUAAGCACCGGCUAACUUCGUG